This is a long non-coding RNA of Hypanus sabinus (Atlantic stingray), 1383 nucleotides long. RefSeq lists it as uncharacterized. The record is from RefSeq and is a predicted model, not a curated record. NCBI's taxonomy places the organism in Eukaryota, Metazoa, Chordata, Chondrichthyes, Myliobatiformes, Dasyatidae. The transcript has 3 exons.
CCCCCGUUGUCAUUUAGAAGGUGGCAGUGAACUGCCUUGAUGAACUCUUUGCAUGGGGUAGGGUGGUAGCCGUACCAUACCGGCAUGCGGUAACGUAGUGGUUAGCACGGCUUUAUUACGGCGUCGGAAUUCGGAGUUCAGUCCCGGCGUCCUCCCCGAGAAUGAGUGGGUUUUCUCCGGCUCCUCCGGUUUCCUCCCACAGCCCAAAGUCUGGAUUGGGUUUGUGCAAUGAACCAGAAUUGGUAAAAGAACCCUUCGGAGCAAAUGUUCAUAAUAUGAUCAAAUUCAAAAUUGGAAAAGAACACUGGUAGGGCGAUGGCAGAGCAGCGUGGCUGGAAUUUCUGGAAGCAAUUCUGAAGACACAGGAUAUAUACAUCCAAAGAUGAAAAAGUAUUCCAAAGGAAAGAUGACAUAACUAUGGUUGACAACAGAAGUCAAAGCCAGAGAGAGGGCAUAUAACAGAGCAAAAAUUAAUGGGAAGUUAGAGGAUUGGAAAGUAUUUAAAAACCAACAGAAAAGUCAUUAAGAUAGUAAAAACGACAUACAAAACUAAGCUGGACAAUAGUAAAGAGGAUACCAAAAUUUUCUUCAGGAUUGAAGAGAUGGGGUGCUCCAAGUGUUUGCAGAUGGAUUGAAAUUGUUAACCUACCUGUCUCACGGUGGUAUCUGCCUGUUGUUUAAAUGGUUGCUGGAUGGCAUUGAUGAUGUAAUGAAGAUCCUGUCUCCCACUGUCGUCUCAGGAUUUUUGUGAUCUGUGUGUUCUUAUGUCUGCAUUGAAAUUGAUCUUUGGACUGUAACAACUACUGUUAAUGCCUUCAGUUUCCUGGGAGUCAUUACCUAAACUUUACCACCUCUUUCUGCUUUUUUCAGUCUAUCUUUUUUGCUCUGUUUAGUUGCUUUUUGCUAAGUAGCUAUAUCUGCUUUAGGGUUACAGGUUAACAGCAUAGGUCCAGGCAUGGCAGACACUACUUUUGGGAAUGGUUAAAAUCUGCCUGUAUCAUCAGUUUAGUAAGUUAGCAGGUGAUCCCAUUAGUCAUGCUGAGUAAAAUUUAGAGAAGGCACGGCAUGAAGAUUCCUCCUAGCUGAUGAACUUAACUAGGACAGUCUUGGCUUAAGUCUUGCCUCUCUGACUGGAGCCCUGUGACUAGUGGUGGACUGCAAGGAUCGGUGCUGGGUCUGCCGUUGUUUGUCACCUAUAUCAAUGAUCUGGAUGAUAAAGUAGUUAACUGUGUCAGCAAAUUUAUGGAUGAUAUGAAGAUUGGGAUUGUAAUGGACAAUGAAGAAGGCUCUCAUGGCUUGCAGCAGGAUCUGGACCAGCUGGAAAAUGGCAGAUGGAGACAAGUGUGAGAUGUGGGAGGAAUGUGCAGCACCCAGAGGAAGAAC